AUGAACGCUGGCGGCGUGCCUAAUACCUGCACGUCGAGCGAACAGAUGAGGAGCUUGCUCCUCUGACGUUAGCGGCGGACGGGUGAGUAACACGUGGAUAACCUACCUAUAAGACUGGGAUAACUUCGGGAAACCGGAGCUAAUACCGGAUAAUAUAUUAAACCGCAUGGUUCAAUAGUGAAAGACGGUUUUGCUGUCACUUAUAGAUGGAUCCGCGCCGCAUUAGCUAGUUGGUAAGGUAACGGCUUACCAAGGCAACGAUGCGUAGCCGACCUGAGAGGGUGAUCGGCCACACUGGAACUGAGACACGGUCCAGACUCCUACGGGAGGCAGCAGUAGGGAAUCUUCCGCAAUGGGCGAAAGCCUGACGGAGCAACGCCGCGUGAGUGAUGAAGGUCUUCGGAUCGUAAAACUCUGUUAUUAGGGAAGAACAAAUGUGUAAGUAACUAUGCACGUCUUGACGGUACCUAAUCAGAAAGCCACGGCUAACUACGUG
This 496-nucleotide ribosomal RNA is filed under the name uncultured bacterium. RNAcentral's name for it is "partial 16S ribosomal RNA". It matches the Rfam family "Bacterial small subunit ribosomal RNA", at positions 29 to 507 of the family's 1533-position model. The record is from RNAcentral.